AACGGACGCUGGCGGCAUGCCUAACACAUGCAAGUCGAACGAGACCUUCGGGUCUAGUGGCGCACGGGUGCGUAACGCGUGGGAACCUGCCCUUAGGUUCGGAAUAACUCCCCGAAAGGGGUGCUAAUACCGGAUAAUGUCUUCGGACCAAAGAUUUAUCGCCUUUGGAUGGGCCCGCGUUGGAUUAGCUAGUUGGUAGGGUAAAAGCCUACCAAGGCGACGAUCCGUAGCUGGUCUGAGAGGAUGAUCAGCCACACUGGGACUGAGACACGGCCCAGACUCCUACGGGAGGCAGCAGUGGGGAAUAUUGGACAAUGGGCGAAAGCCUGAUCCAGCAAUGCCGCGUGAGUGAUGAAGGCCUUAGGGUUGUAAAGCUCUUUUACCCGGGAUGAUAAUGACAGUACCGGGAGAAUAAGCUCCGGCUAACUCCGUG
RNAcentral lists this ribosomal RNA (433 nucleotides) under uncultured bacterium. Its description in RNAcentral is "partial 16S ribosomal RNA". It matches the Rfam family "Bacterial small subunit ribosomal RNA", at positions 29 to 507 of the family's 1533-position model. The record is from RNAcentral.